CAGCUCUCCGAGUGGUAGGGAUGAUUAUUGGGCUUAAAGCGUCCGUAGCCGGCUUAGCAAGUUUCCUGUUAAACCCAGCGACUCAAUCGUUGGAUCGCGGGAAAUACUACUAGGCUAGGAGGCGGGAGAGGUCAACGGUACUUCUGGGGUAGGGGUGAAAUCCUAUAAUCCCGGGAGGACCACCAGUGGCGAAGGCUGUUGACUAGAACGCGCUCAACGGUGAGGGACGAAAGCUGGGGGAGCGAACCGGAUUAGAUACCCGAGUAGUCC
Molecule: ribosomal RNA, 270 nt
Filed under: uncultured archaeon
Lineage: Archaea
Description: partial 16S ribosomal RNA
Rfam family: Archaeal small subunit ribosomal RNA
Source: RNAcentral